CGGAGGGUGCAAGCGUUAUCCGGAUUCACUGGGUUUAAAGGGUGCGUAGGUGGGUCUGUAAGUCAGUGGUGAAAUCUCCGAGCUUAACUCGGAAACUGCCAUUGAUACUAUAGGUCUUGAAUCAUCUGGAGGUAAGCGGAAUAUGUCAUGUAGCGGUGAAAUGCUUAGAUAUGACAUAGAACACCAAUUGCGAAGGCAGCUUACUACGGGUGUAUUGACACUGAGGCACGAAAGCGUGGGGAUCAAACAGGAUUAGAUACCCUGGUAGUCCACGCCCUAAACGAUGGAUACUCGACAUCAGCGAUACACUGUUGGUGUCUGAGCGAAAGCAUUAAGUAUCCCACCUGGGAAGUACGACCGCAAGGUUG
RNAcentral lists this ribosomal RNA (368 nucleotides) under uncultured organism. RNAcentral describes it as "bacterial SSU rRNA". It matches the Rfam family "Bacterial small subunit ribosomal RNA", at positions 526 to 896 of the family's 1533-position model. The record is from RNAcentral.